Hyla sarda is the source of this 406-nucleotide long non-coding RNA. RefSeq lists it as uncharacterized. The transcript has 3 exons. Lineage: Eukaryota; Metazoa; Chordata; Amphibia; Anura; Hylidae. The record is from RefSeq and is a predicted model, not a curated record.
AGUGCAGUAAGGUCAAGUCCUAGGUUUGUGUUUGGAGUCCAGAGGAGGCCAAAGUCUACCACGCAGCCACGGAUCCACAAGUCAACUACCCCCCAGGUCCAAGUCAAAGCCUGGUGGUACAUAAAAAAAUGUGGGGUUCAUCUGGCCUGGCUGUCAUUUUGUAAGUGUUCGGCCGUCUUGACAGAUGAUAGAAGACAGCGCAGGGUGACCUUGAGAUAUGUAAACCCAGAGUAAGUGUUAGACUGACACAGAAGUGCAUACAAUACAUUUGGAAAAACCUUGUUCUUGAUUCCAAUGUUUAUUUUGACUGAGCUCUAAAGAUCCUGUGUGCAGAUGGGAGAAACUUCCAGAAGAUCCAAAAUCCAUCAUUGCAGCCUCCACAAUCUGGGAUCAGAAAGAAACAUCA